GAUCAGUGGGAAUCAAGGAUAUGUAUUGACCAUUGGUUGGGCAGAUGCAUUCGUCCCUCGUGCCCAUUCAUUCACCUACAUGCGUGUGAGUUGUCAAAAGGCCUCCCUCGGCAGUAUGAUCCGGUGCCAGAAAACAACUUCGACACUCCUGGCCCACCCGUUGACAACGCCUCGGAUGGGUCCAGCGUCAGCAAAACGGAGCCAUCAGUAAAGCCAUAC
Molecule: long non-coding RNA, 219 nt
Organism: Sycon ciliatum
Lineage: Eukaryota; Metazoa; Porifera; Calcarea; Leucosolenida; Sycettidae
Exons: 3
Source: RefSeq, a predicted model, not a curated record